Molecule: ribosomal RNA, 486 nt
Filed under: uncultured bacterium
Lineage: Bacteria
Description: partial 16S ribosomal RNA
Rfam family: Bacterial small subunit ribosomal RNA
Source: RNAcentral
AUUGAACGCUGGCGGCAUGCCUUACACAUGCAAGUCGAACGGCAGCACGGGUGCUUGCACCUGGUGGCGAGUGGCGAACGGGUGAGUAAUACAUCGGAACAUGUCCUGUAGUGGGGGAUAGCCCGGCGAAAGCCGGAUUAAUACCGCAUACGAUCUACGGAUGACAGCGGGGGACCUUCGGGCCUCGCGCUGUAGGGUUGGCCGAUGGCUGAUUAGCUAGUUGGUGGGGUAAAGGCCUACCAAGGCGACGAUCAGUAGCUGGGCUGAGAGGACGACCAGCCACACUGGGACUGAGACACGGCCCAGACUCCUACGGGAGGCAGCAGUGGGGAAUUUUGGACAAUGGGCGAAAGCCUGAUCCAGCAAUGCCGCGUGUGUGAAGAAGGCCUUCGGGUUGUAAAGCACUUUUGUCCGGAAAGAAAUCCUUGGCCCUAAUACGGUCGGGGGAUGACGGUACCGGAAGAAUAAGCACCGGCUAACUACGUG